Molecule: long non-coding RNA, 532 nt
Organism: Cyanistes caeruleus (blue tit)
Lineage: Eukaryota; Metazoa; Chordata; Aves; Passeriformes; Paridae
Source: RefSeq, a predicted model, not a curated record
GGUUACAUUUCCAGGAUUUUCCUCAGUCUUCCAGCUCCCAAGUCUGUUUUGUCUGAUGCUUAUGCCAGCUCUGCAUCUUCCUGGCUGUCAGCUCCUCAGAAUUUCCCAAGGGAGAGAGAGCUUCAUGAAGAGGCUUUGCAGCCCUGGGAUUUGGGCAGCUGGAGGCCUUGCUUCUGAGAGAUGUGGGCAUUGCUGUAAGCUGAUGGUAAUAAUUCAACAAGGACACAUGUAGUGGCAAUUGAUCUUGCUGUGAGCUGGCAACCUGUGGAAAGCAGAGCAAAUGGGUGGGCUGCUGAGUAGGAGGAAUCUGCUUGGGAGACAUGGCCUGUAGACAGACUAUCAUGCAGUGGCCCACAGCAGCUUACACUGACAAGUCUUUUCUAGUGAUGAAAGCAUGACAGUAGCUGCCAGAAUGAAACCUGCCUCUUCUAAGGAGCAACAGAGACUUCUUCCACAGUUAAUAAACAAAUUUUAUUAAACAACUUAAUAACUACCAAACUCAAUAAACUAAUAGCUUUAUUAACAAGUGAAA